This is a long non-coding RNA of Peromyscus californicus insignis, 4861 nucleotides long. RefSeq lists it as uncharacterized. The record is from RefSeq and is a predicted model, not a curated record. Lineage: Eukaryota; Metazoa; Chordata; Mammalia; Rodentia; Cricetidae. The transcript has 4 exons.
GAGAGGUUGGGAGGGUCGUGGGGUGCUGGCUCCAGGGUGUGGCUGUGUCCCAAAGCCCAGCAGGCUCCGAGGGUUGCAAUUAGGCAAAGCUUCUGGUCUGCAGAAGGAGGAGGAGGAUUAUGGCAAAUUCAUUUCUGUUUUCCAGCCCAGUAAGCCUGCAGCAUGUCCCUGAUGUUAGCAUGAGAAUGAGCUAGGGCUCUGUGAGCCCCUCCCCACCGACCUGCUGACCCCUGUCCCCCCACGUGAAUAGCAGGACUCACGGCCUGGACAGCCUCUCGAACCAGUGCUUGCAAAGCCACGGCUCCUACUCAGGGUAAUUUAAUAUAUUUUAAGCCCCCGGCGGCUUUAUUUUCCCUCCUUUUUGAGUUUGUUUUAGGCAUUCAGAGCUCUCACCCCGUCAUUAGACAGCCUUAUUUGACGGAUGGAAGGAGCUGCUAUGAGACCACAGCCCUUUGUAUCCCCCACAUAAGCUGGGCUUCCCCGUAAUUAGAAUGGUAUUCCCAGCCAUUGAGGCCUUUCAUGAGGCGGAACAAAAACUCCCCGAGAUGAAUAUCCCCCAACUCUCAGCCCCCUGGAUGGAAAAGGGACUGUGAGUUAAAGGGACUCCUUGGGGAAGGUAGUCUGUGACCAGGGACAUCUGAGAUCCUGCCAGGAGCAGAAAUUUAGAGGCCACAGGGAGUGGGCUCCAGACAAAGGUUCGUCAGGGUUUUCCCCAGGUGCUUCGCCAGCCCCAGGACCUGCUUGGCUCAGCCUUUGUGGCAGAGGACCCGUAUAUACUCAUGGGGUUGUGGGUAUGGUAGUAAGCAAGAGUGCACAUGUAACUAUACAGCCACCUGGAUCUCACUUAGAAAUGACUGUACAUUUAAACACACAAAUACACAUAUCGAAAACAGUUACUUUCAUAAGGCUUAGGAUUAUAUUGUAAAUAACACGCAUAUGCAUGCAUAUAUGGACACAUGCAUGCUCAGAACAGGACCACAUUGUCACAAGCCAGGUUGGAAAAGAGUAGUAAAUGUACAUACAUGUCACGUGCACUGUCCUCCAGACAUAGAACCAAAUUGCGCUGUGUCUUGUCUGUGCGCGCGCACACACACACACACACACACACACACACACACACACACACACACACAUACUCACACAUGCACACCCAGAUCUUCUGUGGCAAUGGGGCAUUAACCAGUUCAUGUGCCCUGAGGUAAUUCCAUCCUUUCCUCCCAAGGAUACAGACUUACUUCUGGCCUCCUUCCUAAACCUAUGGUUAGCCUGUGUUUAAAUACAGAUUGACAUGCACAUCCGUGUGUGGAUUUGUGUACAUUGUCUGCUCAUACUGACACAGGAAAAUACUAUGGAAUGCUAUGGAACCAAAUGCUGUUACGUUUCUAGGGUAAGCCUCACGAUUGACAUUCAAGAAUACCUAAUGUAUAUAUAUUAGGUGGGUUGGGUUCUUCUCUGGACCUCAGAUCUCCCACGCCUUUGGGAAGAGGAAACCUCUUUUGGGGGGCGUUUCCACUGGGUUAGACUUUAAGAGCAAACAGCAGGCAUGAAGCUGUAUGGCCAGUCAGUAACUUUUCCACAGGAGAAGCUCAGAGGGUGCUCUUUAUUCUGACAAACCCAGGUUUCUAAGUGGCACCCAGGAGAAGCAGUUCCAGAGAGGAGCAAUAAAUGCCCCAUUUCUGUGAGGAUUUAAAAAAAGAAGAAGGAGUGAUCACAAGCCACAGAUGCUGUGGAGGGCAUGUAUCAGUGAAUUCAGCUUCUAAUCUGUGUCAGAUCCCACGCACAGGGCUUGGAAUACGGUGGGGACCCACGACGCAGCACUUUUAGUCCAAGUCAGAGCUAUAUGCAGGACCGUGGUGAGGGCAGCCUGCUGGAGUCCCCAAGACCAAAGAUGAGGCUGAUGACCCUGCUUUGGCAGAAAGCAUCGAAGAGAAGGAAGCUGAAAGACUGGGAAUCUGGAGGUCACUUCUGAGUAUGGAAUCUGGAAACCCUUCAGGUCUUAAAACCUUGCUCUCAGCACGUCGAUAGAGAAGGUUCCAGAGAAGAACCUAAGUGGGCUCUUCAGUUCCAGGGAGCCCCAGUGGCACCAUCCAAACUUGGAAAAGGAAUCAUGUUGAUCACCAGAGAUAGAAUCUCAUCAGAACUAGGCUGCGUGCAGGGGAGGCAAAGGGCAAAGGGGCUCCUGGAUGGCAUCCCACAGAGGCACAACUGUCCUGGAGGGAGGAUGUGGCCACAGGUGUGUGGGUCAACGAGACUACCCUGUUCUCUGGAAGACCUGCUGCACAGAGCUGCAGGGCAGAAAGCCCUGUGGUUAGAGCUGGCCAAGCACUCUGUCACUCAUCCCUUCCCGCAGCCCGUUGCAGAGUUGGCUUCGUUUUUAAUUCUCCAGCCUCGGGAGUGAAAGAUCUAGUUCAGAGGCCUUGACCUGUGCCCUCCCCGACCCCACCGCAUGCCGCAUGCCGGAUUCCCAAGGUGUGGAGCUUGUGUGGGUUCCCAGAGGCCUUCGGAGGCUGCGCGCAGUAGUUUUCUUCCCUUUCGAAGGCAGCAAACGGUUUUCAAAGAACCACAUCAUGGUGAAGACGGCCGGGAGGCUCUGGUGGCAAUGGAACUACCGCUCGGGUCUUUGCCCACCCCCCUGGCGUGCUUUACACUCCUUGUUUCAAGUGAGGAAACACGUCACAGAUGUGGAGUGAGCGACCCAAGGUCGCACAGCUGGAAAGUCACAACUCCAGCUCCAAAGAAACAUACACGGUGAGCCCACGGACUUCAUCUCCACCAGAGGCAUUGUGGUGCUGGUCCUGGAACCUGACUGCCUGGGUGUAAUCUCAACUCUGCCAGCUACUACUGACUUACUCUCUCUCCGUGCCUGUGUUUCCUUAUCAGGGAAAGGCGAUGGGUUGUAACAAUGUGUCCACCCUGGCUAGCAUCGCUGUGAAGACUGAAGGGGAUAAUGUGUAUGACCGAGUUGGCAUUGUGAAGCUAUUAUCACUACUGUUCCCACUGCUCCAGGUCUGAGCUCCCCCCCCCCCCCCCCCGGCCAUGGCGGGCAAGUCCAGAGGGUGGAGAGAAAAGCCAGGCUGAGAAUUUCUUGCCUCAUCAUCCUCGAUGUGCAGGAGCAGAGAGGGCAGAGGACAGAGGAGGGGCCGCGUGACUGCCUGGGCUGCUGAGCAAUUUACUGGAGAAGCUCAUUUGGCAACUCUGAUUCCAAGUUAAUUAAAGAUGGCCACCAGGGGUCAUUGCCAUGGUGACAAUUAGGCCAGAAAGAAGCCUCAUUAAGGUGCGGUUUUAACUAGGCCAGCGUUUUUAACCUAAGAUCUCUGGGAAAGGGAACUAGCGUGCUUCCCGUCCUUCCUCCUUGUUCAGAUCCAUUUCCAGACAGCUCUGGAUGAGCAAGGAGGCAGUGGAUGGGUCCUGGGCUGAGUCCCUCUGAGUCCCAGCAGGGCAACAGGUUUCUCUGUGACACUCAUCCUGUCUCUCCAAGGAGGCUGGUGGGCAGAGGGUGGAGGUCAUGAGGCCAGAGCAGGCAGAGAGAAAGGGGAUUUUGUUCAGAGUGGUACAGGAGUCUUUUCCCAUAAUUUGGAAAUGUGGACUUAUCACCCAAUCUGCUUCCCAAACUGAGUGGGGUGGGGGGUGCAGUGGGUGAUAACAUGCACAUGAAGGGAGCACAUGAAGCUUAUUUCUCCUGUGUUGAACUGAGAAGCAUCUUAAAGCAUGUCUCAGUUCACAGCGAUGUAAUGUGUUUGAGUCAGGCAUGGUGACACCCCACCUCGUAUCUCAGCACUGAGACAGGAAGAUAGCAACAGCUAGGCCAGCCUCAGCUACAGAGUGGGACCCCAUUUCAUGGAGGUGGACUGGGGUUGGGGAGAGGGAGCCUGCUGAGAUGGCUCAGCUGUUAACCUGCUGUUCUUACAGCAGACCUGCCUGAGCUUAGUCCCCAAACCACAUAGCAGCUGGCAAUGUCCGUAACUCCAGUUCCAGGGACCUGAGGCCGUUUCUGAUCUCUAUGGGCACCAGACAUGCUCACAGUGCAUUUACAUACAUGAAGGUGAAAUUAUCAUACCCAUAAAAUAAAAAUAAAUUAAUUUAAAAAAUCAAGGGGCCAGGCAGUGGUGGCACACGCCUUUAAUCCAAGCACUCGGGAGGCAGAGCCAGGCAGAUCUCUGUGAGUUCGAGGCUAGCCUGGUCUACAGAGCGAAAUCCAGGACAGGCACCAAAACUACACAGAGAAACCCUGUCUUGAAAAACAAAACAAACAAACAAACAAAAAAAUCAAGGGGCUGGGCUGGAGGUAUGGCUCAGUGCUUAAGAAUAACUGCUCUUCCAGAGGACCUGAGUUCAAUUCCCAGGACCCACAUGGCAGGUAGCAACUGUCUGUAACUCCAAGAUUUAACACCCUCACACAGACAUACAUGCAGACAAAACACCAAUGCACAUAAAAUAAAAACAAAUAAAUUAUUAAAACUAAAUGAAGUGGAGAGUAACCAAGAAAGACACUUGGCUUUGACCUUUGGCUUCUACAUGCAUGUGUUCAAUGUGCACUUGAAUGUGUACAUGAAUACACCCAGGAACACAUGCACAUGCAUACAGCACACACAAAGAAAUAAAAUGUAUUUUUCUUCUCUUCAUAGUAAUAUAAGUGCAUAGAUGGCAAUGAGAAGUCCCAGGAAGUCACAAAAAGAGGCUGUACCCUGCUGUACCCCACCUCAGACACAAUGUCUGUUGACAUUUUCCGUGUGAUAAGUUAAGCACAGGCUACAGGAUUCAAAGAACGGAGAAGGGGAACAUGGACCUUGGUGUCUGUGCCCUUUUCUACUGUUUGUAUUUUAUCAGAAAAAUGUCGAAUAAACGGCAGUGAAAAUACCAA